GACGAACGCUGGCGGCGUGCUUAACACAUGCAAGUCGAACGGUAAGGCUCCAGCUUGCUGGGGUACACGAGUGGCGAACGGGUGAGCAACACGUGGGUGACCUGCCCUGCACUUCGGGAUAAGCCUGGGAAACUGGGUCUAAUACCGGAUAGGACCGCACCGUGAGGGUGUGGUGGAAAGUUUUUUCGGUGUGGGAUGGGCCCGCGGCCUAUCAGCUUGUUGGUGGGGUAAUGGCCUACCAAGGCGGCGACGGGUAGCCGGCCUGAGAGGGUGGACGGCCACAUUGGGACUGAGACACGGCCCAGACUCCUACGGGAGGCAGCAGUGGGGAAUAUUGCACAAUGGGCGGAAGCCUGAUGCAGCGACGCCGCGUGGGGGAUGACGGCCUUCGGGUUGUAAACUCCUUUCACCAUCGACGAAGGGUUUCUGACGGUAGAUGGAGAAGAAGCACCGGCUAACUACGUGCCAGCAGCCGCGGUAAUACGUAGGGUGCGAGCGUUGUCCGGAAUUACUGGGCGUAAAGAGCUCGUAGGUGGUUUGUCGCGUCGUCUGUGAAAUUCCGGGGCUUAACUCCGGGCGUGCAGGCGAUACGGGCAUAACUUGAGUACUGUAGGGGAGACUGGAAUUCCUGGUGUAGCGGUGAAAUGCGCAGAUAUCAGGAGGAACACCGGUGGCGAAGGCGGGUCUCUGGGCAGUAACUGACGCUGAGGAGCGAAAGCAUGGGGAGCGAACAGGAUUAGAUACCCUGGUAGUCCAUGCCGUAAACGGUGGGCGCUAGGUGUGGGUUUCCUUCCACGGGAUCCGUGCCGUAGCUAACGCAUUAAGCGCCCCGCCUGGGGAGUACGGCCGCAAGGCUAAAACUCAAAGGAAUUGACGGGGGCCCGCACAAGCGGCGGAGCAUGUGGAUUAAUUCGAUGCAACGCGAAGAACCUUACCUGGGCUUGACAUAUACAGGAUCGCGCCAGAGAUGGUGUUUCCCUUGUGGCUUGUAUACAGGUGGUGCAUGGUUGUCGUCAGCUCGUGUCGUGAGAUGUUGGGUUAAGUCCCGCAACGAGCGCAACCCUUGUCUUAUGUUGCCAGCACGUUGUGGUGGGGACUCGUAAGAAACUGCCGGGGUUAACUCGGAGGAAGGUGGGGAUGACGUCAAAUCAUCAUGCCCCUUAUGUCCAGGGCUUCACACAUGCUACAAUGGUCGGUACAGUGGGUUGCCAGUCCGUGAGGGCGAGCUAAUCCCGCAAAGCCGGUCUCAGUUCGGAUCGGGGUCUGCAACUCGACCCCGUGAAGUCGGAGUCGCUAGUAAUCGCAGAUCAGCAACGCUGCGGUGAAUACGUUCCCGGGCCU
RNAcentral lists this ribosomal RNA (1341 nucleotides) under uncultured bacterium. RNAcentral's name for it is "partial 16S ribosomal RNA". It matches the Rfam family "Bacterial small subunit ribosomal RNA", at positions 28 to 1381 of the family's 1533-position model. The record is from RNAcentral.